This 73-nucleotide transfer RNA is filed under the name Trichobilharzia regenti. It matches the Rfam family "tRNA". Rfam says of the family: Transfer RNA (tRNA) molecules are approximately 80 nucleotides in length. Their secondary structure includes four short double-helical elements and three loops (D, anti-codon, and T loops). Lineage: Eukaryota; Metazoa; Platyhelminthes; Trematoda; Strigeidida; Schistosomatidae. The record is from Rfam by way of RNAcentral.
GCGUCGGUGGCACAGGGGUUAGGACUCUUGCCUACCAUGCAUAUGGUCCAGGGUUCGAUCCCCUGUCGACGCA